Gallus gallus (chicken) is the source of this 2654-nucleotide long non-coding RNA. The record is from Ensembl. NCBI's taxonomy places the organism in Eukaryota, Metazoa, Chordata, Aves, Galliformes, Phasianidae.
UGGUAACAAAGCAGUCUCUGCUGAGAUCCCAGAGCCAGUAGCUACCACUCUAAGGAGAGCUGACUCAACCACUUUGGACUAAUAAAUAAAUAAAUAAGUUUGUACUGCCAUUGCAGUCGUCGUCGUCGUUGCCGUGGACACCGUUGUCAACAGAACAACAACGCCCGACGACCCACCACUACUGGAGAUCAAUGACUGAACUAUGAACCACGCUGGACUAUGGUGGCAGACUAGACUGCAGUGAUCACGUCCAGGUGGAAUUCACAGUCCUAAGAAGUACAGCUUAAAUGAAGAGUAAAUAGAAUAAAAGAGAAUGGAAUUCUUUCAAUAGCAAUGGAUUCAGAAGAUCAUUCAGUCCAACUGUCACCAGGGGCUGACCCACAGUUAAACAUGGACAGACACAAAGCAUCAGCCACAUGCCUAGGAAGCUGUAAGAGACUAUUCUUUUAUAUCAUUGACUCAAAGUUUGCUGAGGAUCAAGUCCAGGCAAGUCCUGGGCAAAGGCAGAGAAAUCUUUUGUCUUGAGGACACUGAUGGACAGGUCCUGGCUAAGGAUUGUGAAAUCCUCUAAGGAGCACAGAUGGACAAGGCCAGGGGCAUCGAGAGAGAGAUAAGCUGCUGCUAAUGGCCGGGAAGCGGUCUUUUUGUGUGGACUUAUCUCAAGGAAAAUGGCCAUCUCAGGAGGUAUGCACAGGACUCUUGCUCAAGCACCCAGGAAUGUCACGUAGACAGCAGAAAAUGGAGAAUAAAAGAGGGUCCAAUAACCACAACGCUGGAAGCUGAUCCUUCACCACAACCACGGCAACGGGAGAGGCUUAUCUCUCACCACGACAGACUUGAGGGGUUCUCUGCCAACUGAUCUCUCACCGCAACGUGUAGACGGAUCUCUACGUGGAGACUGAUCUCUCACCACGACACGAGCUUCCUGCCUUCCGAUCCUCCUCUACGGACCGUUUGCUGACGGACUUCCCUGGGCCUGCUACCUGAGACCUGCUGCUUCCUCCCUGGCCUGCAUCCUCUCGCUGCCCCAGACCGGCCUCGCUGCUCCUGCCCUUCGGCCUCGGACCGUCGGAACGUCGUGCAACGGGACUGCUGCCGGAUCCUGGUGGUGACUAUCCCCGCUUUACGCAAUUCUUGCCUCUUUCUAUCUUUUCUAUCGCUCGCCUUCCCUUCCCCAUCACCCCAAUCCUUAAUAGCGUCCGUCCUCCCCUUUCCCCAUCUCUCUUAUUAACAUUUAUAAUAAACUGGUCGGACCAACAUUUGAACCGUUGUUUCUUAAUCUCACGCCGGGCAUACAUAUUUCAAAGAACCUCCUCUCCCUCCUAUAAAUUGGAGCGAGACAGAAGCAUAUUCCAGUGUCUAACUACUCUCUUGGUGAAGAAGUUUGUCCUAAUCACUGAAUGAUGGAUUAAUAGAAUCACAGAAUCAUAGAAUGGUUAAGAUUGUAUGGAACCUUAAAGAACAUCUAAUUCCAGACCUCUGCCAUGGACAGGGUUGCCACCCACUAGAAAAGUUUGCUCAGGGCCCCAUCCAACCUGAUUUUGAAUAUAUCCAGGAUUAUGAUACUCAGAGCUUCUCUGGGCAAACUGUUCUAAUGCCUCCCCACUCCCUGGGUAAAGAAUUUCCUCCUAACAUCUAGCCUAAGUCUCUUCUCUUACAGCUUAAUAUGAAAUCUUCAAGCUUCCACUGGGUAGCAUCUCUUCAUUUAUGUGUGUCCACUGCACCACUCAGCUUGGUGUCAUAUGCAGACUUGCUGGGAGUACACUUGAUCCCACUGUCCAUGCCACCUAUGAAGAUGUUAAAUAGCACUGGUCCCAGUACUGAUCCCUGAAGAACACCACUUGUCAUUGGUUUCCACUUGGACAUUGAGCUGUUGACUGCAACUCCCUGAGUGUGACCAUCCAGCCAAUUCCUUAUUCAGCUAGUGGUCCAUCCAUCAAGUCCAUUUUUCUCCAAUUUGGUGAUGAGGAUGUCAUAUGGGACAGCAUCAAAUGCACAAAUUGCAAAUUGUCAAAUGGCACAAAUCCAGGUAGAUGAUGUCAGUUGUUCUUGUUUUACCCACUGACACUGCAACUCCAUCAUAAUAGGUCAUCACAUUUGUCAGGCAUGACUUGCCCUUGGUGAAGCCAUGUUGGUUACCACCAAUCACCUCAUCUUUAUUUUCCAUGUGCCUUAGUAGGACCUUCAGAAGGAUCUGCUCCAUGAUCUUGCCAGGCACAGAGCUGGAUUCAAAUACAUGUAGGUGAAGAAAAUGCAAGAAAACAAAACAAACAAGGUUGACAAGAGUUACACUAAAUGAUUAAAAAAAUGAAACCAGCUCUGUGAAAAACAACAAAAAAAGAGAAAAUUAAACAACAAGGAGAUUAAAUAGGAGAGCUUAAUAUUGUACAACAGAUGGAAGGUUUUGUCUACAACGUGAAGGAAAUAAGCAAGUGGGCUGGAGGAGCACAAGGAACUGGGAGAGGACAGAACCAGUACAGCUGAACUAAACUGGCCAAAGGAAUAUUCCAUGCCAUAUGACAUCAUGUGAAAAACAAACAAACAAACAAACAAACAAAUCCCUAAAACUGGAGGGAGUUGGCCAUUGAGGGCAGCUACUACUUGGAGAUUGGCUGGGCGCUAGUCAGUAGGUAAUGAACAAUUGUCCAUUACUU